CGGACGGGUGAGGAAUACAUCGGAAUCUGCCUGGUAGUGGGGGACAACGUUUCGAAAGGAACGCUAAUACCGCAUACGUCCUACGGGAGAAAGCAGGGGACCUUCGGGCCUUGCGCUAUCAGAUGAGCCUAGGUCGGAUUAGCUAGUUGGUGAGGUAAUGGCUCACCAAGGCGACGAUCCGUAACUGGUCUGAGAGGAUGAUCAGUCACACUGGAACUGAGACACGGUCCAGACUCCUACGGGAGGCAGCAGGC
Molecule: ribosomal RNA, 254 nt
Filed under: uncultured Pseudomonas sp.
Lineage: Bacteria; Pseudomonadati; Pseudomonadota; Gammaproteobacteria; Pseudomonadales; Pseudomonadaceae
Description: partial 16S ribosomal RNA
Rfam family: Bacterial small subunit ribosomal RNA
Source: RNAcentral